Molecule: long non-coding RNA, 533 nt
Filed under: Homo sapiens (human)
Lineage: Eukaryota; Metazoa; Chordata; Mammalia; Primates; Hominidae
Description: HSALNT0301308
Source: RNAcentral
UAUGAAAGGAGCAGACACCAGAAACGACGCAGGCUCCCUCCUCCAGACAGAACCACGCUCAGCGUGAAACGCACCUGGGUCAGAGUCACCUAAGAUUGGUCAGCAAACAACAGGGAGAAACGAACGUGGUGAUGGCGUCAGUUCAUGCCUCAAAGACUGCAGAGCUGGGGGAAAGAAGUGAAUGUGCUGGAAUAUUCUGGCAGCUCAGUGGAGGAAGGGCCGAGGCAUUCAGCAAGAGGGAAUUCCGCAAGCCAGACGCAGCGGAGGCGGAGGACGCAAUCCCCGCCAGCUCCUGGGACCCAAGGGCCGGGUCCCUCCCGGGCUUGUGCCCAGCUUGUCCUCUCCCAUCCCUGCCUCUGGCCCGGUAUUUGCUCCCAGCAUCCUCAGCGGCCGGCAGGGAAGGCGUCCCUGGGAGGCCACCGUGGAGUUGUAGUGGACCCAGAGGCAGUGAGGUCUGCGGAGGAGAGCACUCAACAGGUAGGUAGGCGACCUGGGCCCCACCACGCACUGCAGUGUGACCCCAAGCAGCUCAC